GGCUUAAAAAAUAUUUGAGUGCAAAUCAAAUGGUGGACUUGACGGUCCUAGGCCU
This 55-nucleotide transfer RNA is filed under the name Diporiphora linga. Its description in RNAcentral is "tRNA-Cys". Lineage: Eukaryota; Metazoa; Chordata; Lepidosauria; Squamata; Agamidae. The record is from RNAcentral.